UAUCUAUUUUUCAUGUUGUGCGUAUAAUAAUUUACUUGAAAAGAGACACGUCCAUUGUUUAACUGCAUCAUCUACACAAACCAUUGUGCUUGGACCCCUUAUGAUCACCUGGACUUAAACCACAUUGUUUCAGUUACCUUCUGUGUCUUUGGCCACAACGCUUCAGUGACAGGAAUGUGAAAUAGCAAACAAGGGAACAAAUAAAAGGCAUGACUUUAUUUGCAUCCAGCUAGCCAACUCUAUUACAGAUGUUCCACAGCCAAGACUCUUAUUAGAAUAGAAAAUAGCAAGGGUUCGAAUAAAUAGUUUAUUAAUCAUUUAAUUUCACUUUCUUAAUGAAUAUUGUUCUGUGUAUGUGAUUUCAAAGUCUUGAUGCUUCGGAUUAACCCGUUAAUUGCCGUAUCCCUUAAAACCUGAGUGCCAGAGGAUUACUGUAAAUGCAUGUGCCCGCUGGGCACAGUUUACCUGAUGCCACCGGGGUGGCGUUUGCGCUGAUGGCUUGAGCCCGCCAUCGCUGCUUGCAGCUAUAUUUUGUUAUUAUUAUUAUUUAUUAUUCUAAUUUUUUUUCAAGGUUUCGGGGGCUUUUAGGGCCCUUAACUUGCUUAAAAAGUCUUGAAAAUUGGCACACACAUUGGAACCUGCGGCCAUUAGGGCCGGGCAGAGACUGAUACACGGGCGUGGCACAGAGGC
Long non-coding RNA from Cyprinus carpio carpio, 690 nucleotides. The record is from Ensembl. Lineage: Eukaryota; Metazoa; Chordata; Actinopteri; Cypriniformes; Cyprinidae.